RNAcentral lists this small nucleolar RNA (70 nucleotides) under Thermococcus onnurineus. Its description in RNAcentral is "Pab160 RNA". It matches the Rfam family "Pab160 RNA". From Rfam's summary of the family: By using various computational and experimental approaches in three Pyrococcus genomes seven H/ACA sRNAs and 15 pseudouridine resides on rRNA were identified. RNAcentral also lists the same sequence under 1 other name. The record is from RNAcentral. Lineage: Archaea; Methanobacteriati; Methanobacteriota; Thermococci; Thermococcales; Thermococcaceae.
GCCCCCGGGAAACCGCGGGGAGGAGAGCGCCUCGGCGAGCUGUGACCUCCCUUCGCUCCCCGGGGGCACA